RNAcentral lists this ribosomal RNA (301 nucleotides) under uncultured bacterium. RNAcentral's name for it is "partial 16S ribosomal RNA". It matches the Rfam family "Bacterial small subunit ribosomal RNA", at positions 509 to 809 of the family's 1533-position model. The record is from RNAcentral.
CAGUAGCCGCGGGAACACGAAGGGGGCUAGCGUUGCUCGGAAUGACUGGGCGUAAAGGGCGCGUAGGCGGAUUGUUUAGUUAGGCGUGAAAUUCCUGGGCUUAACCUGGGGACUGCGCUUAAUACAGGCAGUCUAGAGUGAGGAAGAGGGUUGUGGAAUUCCCAGUGUAGAGGUGAAAUUCGUAGAUAUUGGGAAGAACACCGGUGGCGAAGGCGGCAACCUGGUCCUUGACUGACGCUGAGGCGCGAAAGCGUGGGGAGCAAACAGGAUUAGAUACCCCCGUUCCCUGUCUCUUAUACAC